GUUUCUUUCCAGACGCUUUGUUCUUCUCUAAGAGCCAAGCACGAUAUCAUUUAUCUUCUAAAGUCUGGUCUUCUUGCGUUGUAUGUCUCUUAUCUGAAGUCAUUUUCUCAGUUCUCAAGCUACUGAACAUGAGCGAUUGGAUGGAAAACCUUUGAGCAUUUGAUAGUUGAGCUCGGCAGGACAAAAACUACCAAGCAACGUAGUAAAUUGAAAAGUAAGUAAAUUAUAAAACUUGGUGUCAUAUUUUAAGCACUAUAUUGUAUGUAUGUUUGAGGACUUGAAUUUAC
Long non-coding RNA from Actinia tenebrosa (Australian red waratah sea anemone), 287 nucleotides. The record is from RefSeq and is a predicted model, not a curated record. Lineage: Eukaryota; Metazoa; Cnidaria; Anthozoa; Actiniaria; Actiniidae.